GCUGCGGUGGUGGAAUUUGGUAGACACGCUAGCUUGAGGGGCUAGUGCGGGUUACCGCAUGGAGGUUCAAGUCCUCUCCGCAGCA
This is a non-coding RNA of Spirochaetes bacterium RBG_16_67_19, 85 nucleotides long. NCBI's taxonomy places the organism in Bacteria, Pseudomonadati, Spirochaetota. The record is from Rfam.